RNAcentral lists this ribosomal RNA (1122 nucleotides) under uncultured Chloroflexota bacterium. Its description in RNAcentral is "bacterial SSU rRNA". It matches the Rfam family "Bacterial small subunit ribosomal RNA", at positions 50 to 1199 of the family's 1533-position model. The record is from RNAcentral. Lineage: Bacteria; Bacillati; Chloroflexota.
AACGCAUGCAAGUCGAACGAGAAGCUUAUAUUCGUAUGAGCGGAAAGUGGCGAACGGGUGAGUAACACGUUGGUGACCUGCCUUCGAGAGGGGGACAACCACUGGAAACGGUGGCUAAUACCCCAGAUGCUACGCUAUUUAGAAAAGCGUAACUAAAGCUCCGGUGCUCGAAGAGGGGCCAGCGUCCCAUCAGCUAGUUGGCGAGGUAACGGCUCACCAAGGCGAAGACGGGUAGGGGACGUGAGAGCGUGACCCCCCACACUGGUACUGAUACACGGACCAGAUACCUACGGGUAGCAGCAGCGAGGAAUAUUGCGCAAUGGGCGAAAGCCUGACGCAGCAACACCGCGUGGAGGAUGAAGGCCCUUCCGGGUUGUAAACUCCUUUUCUGGGGGAAUAGAAUGGAAGGUACCCCAGGAAUAAGCUCCGGCUAACCUACGUGCCCAGCAGCCCGCGGUAAAACGUAGGGAGCAAGCGUUAUCCGGAAUUACUGGGCGUAAAGGGCACGCAGGCGGUUUGCUAAGUUGGAUGUGAAAGCUCUCGGCUUAACUGGGAGAGGCCAUUCAAAACUGGCAGACUUGAGAUAGACAGAGGAAAGUGGAAUUCCCGGUGUAGUGGUGAAAUGCGUAGAUAUCGGGAGGAACACCAGUGGCGAAAGCGGCUUUCUGGGUCUAAUCUGACGCUGAGGUGCGAAAGCUAGGGGAGAGAACGGGAUUAGAAACCCCGGUAUUCCUAGCCGUAAACGAUGUCAACUAGGUGUUGGAGGUAACCAAUCCUUCGGUGCUGCAGCAAACGCGAUAAGUUGACCGCCUGGGGACUACGGCCGCAAGGCUAAAACUCAAAGGAAUUGACGGGUCCCCGCACAAGCAGCGGAGCGUGUGGUUUAAUUCGAGGCCACGCGAAGAACCUUACCCGGGUUUGACAUAAUGGUGGUAGCGACUCGAAAGAGAAGCGACCCUUCGGGGAGCCAUUACAGGUGCUGCAUGGCUGUCGUCAGCUCGUGCCGUGAGGUGUCAGGUUAAGUCCUGUAACGAGCGCAACCCUCAUCGUUAGUUACAAGUGUCUAGCGAGACUGCCCAUGAUAAGUGGGAGGAAGGUGGGGAUGACGUAAGUCAGCAUGGC